Molecule: ribosomal RNA, 460 nt
Filed under: uncultured bacterium
Lineage: Bacteria
Description: partial 16S ribosomal RNA
Rfam family: Bacterial small subunit ribosomal RNA
Source: RNAcentral
CCUACGGGAGGCUGCAGUGAGGAAUAUUGGUCAAUGGGCGCGAGCCUGAACCAGCCAAGUAGCGUGAAGGAUGACUGCCCUACGGGUUGUAAACUUCUUUUAUAAAGGAAUAAAGUGAGGCACGUGUGCCUUUUUGUAUGUACUUUAUGAAUAAGGAUCGGCUAACUCCGUGCCAGCACCCGCGGUAAUACGGAGGAUCCGAGCGUUAUCCGGAUUUAUCGGGUUUAAAGGGAGCGUAGAUGGGUUGUUAAGUCAGUUGUGAAAGUUUGCGGCUCAACCGUAAAAUUGCAAUUGAUACUGGCAGUCUUGAGUACAGUUGAGGUAGGCGGAAUUCGUGGUGUAGCGGUGAAAUGCUUAGAUAUCACGAAGAACUCCGAUUGCGAAGGCAGCUUACUAAACUGCCACUGACAUUGAUGCUCGAAAGUGUGGGUAUCAAACAGGAUUAGAUACCCCUGUAGUC